CGCUGGCGGCGUGCCUAAUACAUGCAAGUCAACGGUCUUUCUAUGGAAGCUUGCUUCCACUGAGAAGAUAGUGGCGAAACGGGUGAGUAACACGUGGGGUAACCUGCCCAUAAGAGGGGGGAUAACGAUCCGGAAACGGGUGCUGAUACCGCAUAGUUUUCUUGAUCGCAUGAUCGGGAAAGGAAAGACGGCCUUUGUGCUGUCGCUUAUGGAUGGACCCGCGGCGUAUUAGUUAGUUGGUGAGGUAACGGCUCACCAAGACGAUGAUACGUAGCCGACCUGAGAGGGUGAUCGGCCACAUUGGGACUGAGACACGGCCCAAACUCCUACGGGAGGCAGCAGUAGGGAAUCUUCCGCAAUGGACGAAAGUCUGACGGAGCAACGCUGCGUGAGUGAAAAGAAGGUUUUCGGAUCGUAAAACUCUGUUGUCAGAGAAGAACAAGUUGGAGAGUAACUGCUCCAGCCUUGACGGUAUCUGACCAGAAAGCCACGGCUAACUACGUGCCAGCCGCGGC
RNAcentral lists this ribosomal RNA (515 nucleotides) under uncultured bacterium. RNAcentral's name for it is "bacterial SSU rRNA". It matches the Rfam family "Bacterial small subunit ribosomal RNA", at positions 34 to 518 of the family's 1533-position model. The record is from RNAcentral.